Molecule: long non-coding RNA, 428 nt
Organism: Pseudomyrmex gracilis
Lineage: Eukaryota; Metazoa; Arthropoda; Insecta; Hymenoptera; Formicidae
Exons: 3
Source: RefSeq, a predicted model, not a curated record
CGGGAAGCCAGCGCGGAGAGGAAAAACCACAUUCUAGCGGCGGGUCGUCGUAUCAAAGUGCCACGAGUUAAAUAAUCGAAGAUUACGGCACCAUCACGCGAGUGACUGACUUCCGCUAAACCUGCUCCUGUGUGUGUAACGGAUCGUUUGUGUUGCACGAGACACGGGAAACACGUAUAGCUUUCUGAAUUGACAAACACGAGGCCAUAGAGAGCUGGGACACUCCAAUCCAAUCCGUGGUGGACAAUGGCGAUCUACGAACGAAAUCGAAGUCAUCACUGGCAAUUAAGACGAAACUGGUUUUCACAAUGAACUGACAGAUAGAUAUAAUUCUGAGAUCAUUGUGAAAGCUGAUUUUGUUUAAGUAUCGACGGAACACACACACACACACACGUACACACGUGUACAGUCGGGGAAGAAAAUAGCGA